UUCAUAUUUCAUAGGAUGUCACAAGAGGAGUCAAGAGACCUUGCUGGGGUUCAUAAUAGAGGCGAUAUCUUUUAUUAGACCAAUUGCUUUUUCCUCUAGACCAGCCUGGACACUUGAUUUUCUUGGGAUUUUCCUGGAGGGUCGGGACGUACAUUUACCUGCUUAGACCUUAAUUACAACGAGGCAAGCCUCCUUCACUUUUAACGCCGCAUUUCACGACGCGCGCGCCUGCCACCCACGGCGCAGACAUCUCUUUAACGACAAAAAAAAGGACGGACGUCAGACACGCCAACCACAACCACGGUCAAAAACGAGGCAACGCCGUGAUACCGGCCGAGCGCGUGGUCCACAAUGAUGCGAGAGGCGAGGCUUUCUCAGGUGUCAUGGCAUCACAGCCACCCCACAGUACUACAUCCUAAAUCAUACUACUUGACCCGUGAGAGUGAUCAUCCUCAACCAUGAGUGAUCGCUGCCAACAAGUACUAAAUCAAAGAGCCAGCAGGUUGCUUUUUGAUAUGACAAGAACCUGCACAAGCCUGUGUCACUACCUCCAGCUACCUGAAAUGAAUAAUUUACAAGCAUUUCAUUUCUAAGGCAAGAGGAUUUGAUAGAGAGAAAAAAAGCCCAGCCCAAAGCCUUAUAUGCUCCUUGAAAUCUAAAAAGGUGGAUUUAUGUCAAACCUAGAGCUAGUUUGUGAAGGAUGGCGUAGAUAUAUUGUAAAGACUCUAUUUUGAGAUACCAACUAGGUGAGGGGGGUGGGAAGAACUUGCACCGCCACGAAGAAAGAAGAGCCCUUCCUCCAGCUGAAUUCACUGAUGGGUGAGGACGUUCUGCUCCGAUACGUGCUUACAGAAAGCGUGACAAGAAUGAGGCAGCUGGUGUGCUGAGCCCACUUGUCUGUCAUGCCAGCCCAUCACAUCUCUGUAUCCUUGGACUCCCAUGUCUGUAUCUACCCGCUGCCUCCUGUCUUUCGCUUCAGCUAUGAGCUCCUCUGGGCAGGGACUGGCUUUUGACUCUGUGUUGGUCUGGUACAAUGGGGUCUUGACCUGUUUCGAGGGCACCUGGGUGCUAUCAUGACACAAAUACUGCUCUUCACUUUCAGUUACAACACUUGAGAUGGAGUGGAAAGUUCAGGGUAAUAGGACUAAACACCCAAACCAAAUGAUACACUAGUAGAUAUGCUGGAGGGGAGGGCUAGGAUUCAGAGUGACUUAGACAUAUAGGAGCACUGGGCCAAAAGAAAUCUCACGAGGUUCAACAAAGACAAGUGCCAAGUCCUGCACUUAGG
This is a long non-coding RNA of Alligator sinensis (Chinese alligator), 1288 nucleotides long. RefSeq lists it as uncharacterized. The transcript has 3 exons. Lineage: Eukaryota; Metazoa; Chordata; Crocodylia; Alligatoridae. The record is from RefSeq and is a predicted model, not a curated record.